This 822-nucleotide ribosomal RNA is filed under the name uncultured bacterium. Its description in RNAcentral is "bacterial SSU rRNA". It matches the Rfam family "Bacterial small subunit ribosomal RNA", at positions 1 to 806 of the family's 1533-position model. The record is from RNAcentral.
UUAGAGUUUGAUCCUGGCUCAGGACGAACGCUGGCGGCAUGCCUAAUACAUGCAAGUCGAACGCUGAAGCACUCUGCUUGCAGAGUGCGGAUGAGUGGCGAACGGGUGAGUAACACGUGGGAAAUCUGCCUAGGAGUGGGGGAUAACAUUCGGAAACGGAUGCUAAUACCGCAUAUCUUUUUGAACCGCAUGGUUCUUAAACGAAAGACGGCUUCGGCUGUCGCUCUUAGAUGAUCCCGCGGCGUAUUAGUUAGUUGGUGGGGUAAAGGCCUACCAAGACCAUGAUACGUAGCCGACCUGAGAGGGUGAUCGGCCACACUGGGACUGAGACACGGCCCACACUCCUACGGGAGGCAGCAGUAGGGAAUCUUCCACAAUGGGUGAAAACCUGAUGGAGCAAUGCCGCGUGAAUGAAGAAGGUCUUCGGAUCGUAAAGUUCUGUUAUUAGAGAAGAACAAGUCAAGGAGUAACUGUCUUGACUUUGACGGUACCUAACCAGAAAGUCACGGCUAACUACGUGCCAGCAGCCGCGGUAAUACGUAGGUGACAAGCGUUGUCCGGAAUUAUUGGGCGUAAAGGGAGCGCAGGCGGUUGGAAUAGUCUGAUGUGAAAGCCCACGGCUUAACCGUGGAAGGUCAUUGGAAACUGUCCAACUUGAAUUCAGAAGAGGUAAGUGGAAUUCCCAGUGUAGCGGUGAAAUGCGUAUAUUUUUGGAGGAACACCAGUGGCGGAGGCCAACUUACUGGUCUGUAUUUGACGCUGAAGCUCGAAAGCGGGGGUAAACAAAACAGGAUUAAAUACCCGGUAACUCCCCGCCCAAAA